Molecule: long non-coding RNA, 422 nt
Organism: Varanus komodoensis (Komodo dragon)
Lineage: Eukaryota; Metazoa; Chordata; Lepidosauria; Squamata; Varanidae
Exons: 3
Source: RefSeq, a predicted model, not a curated record
CGUCCCAGGGUUUUCUGCUAAAUAAGCUCGGAGGGCUCCUUCUCUGGCAUUUGCAUCGCAACCCCAAGGAAAAGACGCUUCGUCUCUGAGGCUCGCGUUGCUUUAAGUGGUGUCACACUGGAAAGGCGAUGGCAUGCACCGCCGAGAACAACGGAGGGACGCUUGCCCUUCAGGGCAGUAUUAAGAGCGCCCUGCUGCAGCGAGGCGCAGGCAAAGUGCCUGGGACGACGCGUCACCCUACGCCGCCGCUACUACUUAAGGAGAAAUCCCAGGACCUCUGAAUCGGGAGCAAGUCUGAGAUCAGACUCGGAAGACAAGGACCAGUAAACAGAAGCCGAAGUUGGCAAGAUGGAGGCCCCGUGGGCGCAUGGUUCCUUGGUGCAGGAGGCAGGCUCAUUGCCAUUUCUAGAGGGGGUUUCACG